This 484-nucleotide ribosomal RNA is filed under the name uncultured bacterium. RNAcentral's name for it is "partial 16S ribosomal RNA". It matches the Rfam family "Bacterial small subunit ribosomal RNA", at positions 30 to 507 of the family's 1533-position model. The record is from RNAcentral.
AUUGAACGCUAGCGGCAGGCCUAACACAUGCAAGUCGAGCGGAUGAAGGGAGCUUGCUCCUGGAUUCAGCGGCGGACGGGUGAGUAAUGCCUAGGAAUCUGCCUGGUAGUGGGGGAUAACGUCCGGAAACGGGCGCUAAUACCGCAUACGUCCUGAGGGAGAAAGUGGGGGAUCUUCGGACCUCACGCUAUCAGAUGAGCCUAGGUCGGAUUAGCUAGUUGGUGGGGUAAAGGCCUACCAAGGCGACGAUCCGUAACUGGUCUGAGAGGAUGAUCAGUCACACUGGAACUGAGACACGGUCCAGACUCCUACGGGAGGCAGCAGUGGGGAAUAUUGGACAAUGGGCGAAAGCCUGAUCCAGCCAUGCCGCGUGUGUGAAGAAGGUCUUCGGAUUGUAAAGCACUUUAAGUUGGGAGGAAGGGCAGUAAGUUAAUACCUUGCUGUUUUGACGUUACCAACAGGAUAAGCACCGGCUAACUUCGUG